This is a long non-coding RNA of Chiroxiphia lanceolata (lance-tailed manakin), 3755 nucleotides long. RefSeq lists it as uncharacterized. The record is from RefSeq and is a predicted model, not a curated record. The transcript has 3 exons. NCBI's taxonomy places the organism in Eukaryota, Metazoa, Chordata, Aves, Passeriformes, Pipridae.
UUGCAAGCAACAGAGUGAUAGAGGAACUCCUGCUCGUGUCAGUAAUUAUCAAAAGUCAGAAUCUCAUGCACAGAAAUGGUGCCCUUCCAGCAUUUAAACCGGGAACAGUUAGUGACAUAUUGAAUAAGGCCUCUCAAAUGUAUAAAUGCAUUGGUACAGCUGGGCAUGCAAACUAGCAGGAUACUAAGCAAAGCAGAUGCUGAAGAAGCUCUAUUUAGUGAACCAGAAUUAACUUGAUCUCAUUGUUUUUAUGCAUCUUCCACAGUUGAACAGAUUGAUUACACUCAAAUAUCUUCCUUUUUAAGUGAUUCCACUUAUUCCAGUUCUUUGCUGGUGCCUGUUUCUCAUUGAUUUUACCUGGUUACAGUCACUAGGGAGCUAGAUGCUUCAUGGUCACCAGCUCUGUAAUAAAGAUGAGGGAAUUACAUCUCACACUGGCAGACUUUUAUGGUCCUGAACUACUGCACUGUAGGACAUCACCAGAUUUUCAUACUUCUAAGUCCAGCUUCAUGUGCUUGGGCACAACAGUUCAUCAUGACUCAGUAGCAUACAAGAGCAUGGACUGAGCUAAGGACUGUUGUAACCUCUGUAACCUUGAAUCACAGCACAGCUUUGCUCUAUCUGCAUGAUAUGAUUUCUAAUCUUAGGAACAAAGCCAGCCAUGCAGAAGUCCUGAAGACAAAGAGCUGGAUCAGCAGGGAAUUGGGAAAAUGGAUGGAAGGGCAGAUGAAGAUGAACUGAAUACUAAUGCUAGCAGUUACAACAGUUCUGAGAGGCUGCUGUACCUGCACCCCCAGCUCUCAUUAUUUAAUAGGUCUGGAAACCCCCUGUUUCAAUCUGCCAUUCUGGAUUAUUUCUCACCAAAAUACAGACAACUGCAUUGACAUACCUGUGCUUAAACCUUUUAUGUCUCACUGGCACCUGCAUUCAGAGAUAUUUCAGCACUGAAUUCAGCACUCUUGCCUUAGUGUCUGUCUCCUAGAAAAGACAAGACCACAGCAUAUCAGGAGAGAUGACAGUUAUUAUCAGCCUGUUGUAUACAGUGCCAGGGCUGACAUGAAGAUUAUUCUGGCCUUGGGGAGCAAAGGGAGGUGAGGUAUUUUGAAAGAGAGCUACAAGAAUGAAGAUAAAAGUCACAUAAAGUUUUCCUAUCUCCUUCUGGCUUUGUUCCUCUGUAUUUCCACUCAGCUGAAAUGUUGUAACUAUGUGCUAGGCUUGGCAAAACGACAGGAGCAAGAAGAAAGUAAGAAUAUGCUCAAGGAAAGAGAAGUUCAAAACUCCCCUCUGAACUCGUAGAGGUGAGAGAAAGGCAACUGGCACCAGGGUAAUGUUUCCUUGUAACACAAUGCCAUCUGCUGGGACUUGCUAUAGCAGCUGAGGCAGUGCAAAUGAACUUGGGAUAAACAAGUCCAAUAAGGCUAGAAAACGCAUGCUGCCAUGUCAACACAGACUGAAUGUGAUCACAUUUGUAGUUAGCAACAAGGGAAAAUUCUUAUAAUCUAGUUUAGAAUUGUCUUUGAAGACUCUGGAAACUGUUAAAAGCAGAUGUCACAGCUGUCUUGAUUAUAGUGAGAAGGAAGAAAAGGAGCUCUCCUGAGAAGUCUGAUAGUUUGCCACAAAGAAGUUGGUACUAAGCUGAGUCCAAAGUUCCCACAGGCGAUGACAAGUGUAAACCUGGACUGAGUUACUGAAGAAGUAGGAGACAGUAAGAGGACAAGUUAGAUGAGGAGAGUAGCCCUCUGAUCUUUAGAAAGAUACAGCUGUCAUUUCCAGAAGCAUCCUGAUUUUCUGUCAAGUUUCAAGAAAAACACUGAAUAUUGAAUACUGAAUUUGUCAUUUGAGGAAAUACAAAUAAGGAGUGCUUGUGUAGUAAUUUAAGAGAUUGUUUUGACGUAAUUGAAUAUUGAGCACAUCCACUUGAAAAUAUUAGUUAGCAAGUCAGUCAAUAAAACGUUGGUCCACACACUCCCAUUUGAAAAGCUUCUCAUUUUAUGUUUUAUAUACUCUCUUGCUUAAACAACGCUACAUAUAUUGGUGCUUGCCUUUAAUCUUUAACAGAAGGAUUCCUUCCACAUUAAAUUCCCCAUUAAUUCCCUCAAAGUUACAUUUGAAAAUAAUUCUCUCACUUAUAAAAUUUAAAUAGUUAUCACUUUUGGGGGGAAUUCCUUUCCUCAUCUGAGUGUGAUUAAUUUGUAAAGUUUGAUUGCCUGAUACUUGUGCUUAGUUUUCACGAUUUUAUUAGUUCAAAAGUUCAGAAUGGUGUCUGUCUGUCGACUAUAUUUUUACAUUGAGAGAACAUAUGCAAAGGCCGCAUGUGAUGUGCAAUUUGCAGGCAUGUGCUGUGUUGUAAAUCCUUGCUUAUAUUCCUUUUGGAAUUUGUAAUGUACGAGGAAGAGCCCUGUUUCAAAUACUGCUUUACUACUUAGUACCUGCUACAUAGAAAUCGAUGGGCUUUUAUUCAUGCUUCUUUUAUUCUGUUAAGCAUAGGCUAGUAGUUGUUAAAGAUUCCCUCCUCAGUCUGAAAACAGUCAUGGGAGUUCACUCAUAUAAAAGAUGAGCAAGGCAGAUGCAUAAGAAAUAGAGGAUUUUGCAGGGAAAGGAACAAAAUAAGAAUACAGCCCAGAGCUUUUAGGCCAGCACCCAGUCCAUUAACUCAGGCUGAUCCAAGUUGGUUUGUCUCUAGCUCUUUUUGCCCCUUCCUCUCUAUCCUUACUACAUUUUAUGCUGCUGCAGGAGGGAUGAAUAUCACUAUGUGAGAUGCAAUGCCCACAAUGUGCUCACACAACACCAUUGCAAUACCUGUAAUUAGUAUUGUUCACGUUUGUGGCCAUGCAACAUAAAAGAACACAAAAUAAUCCUCUGGAAUGCUGCAGUUGCCAGCCAUUUUAUUAUAUUUUAUGUUCUCAAAGGGGAAAUGAUCAUGUUCAUUUAAAAGGAUUUAAAAGAAUUGUUGAGUCUUCCUGUAAAAUUGCAGUGUAGAAUUUGUUGUGAACAAAACAGAGCUGACUCCAUUAUUAUAGCAGAAUAAUUUGCAGCCAGAAUUCAAUUAUGGUCUUAAAAUCUGAUUUUAAUUCAGAAAUAGGCUGCAGUAGCUUCAUUUUUGUCCUGCAUGUUUUUUGAAUUUUAGGAAAAACCUAACUUUAGCAUAUUAAUGCAGUUGUAUCAUAUGAAUAUGGAAUAUAAAUGUGUUUUCAUGAAAGCCCAAUUUAAGUUAUGUGUUGAACCAUUCAGUACAGCUGGAUUCUUCAUUCAGAGUCUCUGUAAAUUCGUGAUCACAAGACAACUUAAACACACAAUUCUCACAGAUUUUUUCUUUGAAGCCCUUGCAGAACCAAUCUAAACAGGAGGUGCAACAGAAAGCUCCACUUCGUUAUAAGACUGGAGUUUAUCUAUUGACUUCAGCAUACACAGAGCGUAAAGCACAUGAGUUCUUUUUUUCUUGUCUAAACUAUUUUGAAUGAGGUCUCUUUUACAUGCUAGUUUGGCAAGCUUCUAAGGCAUUUGUGCAAAGUGAUGAUGCAAGAGCAACCUGAUUCAAUACUGAGAAAUUCAUAAAUAACAUCCAGCAGUAAUUAAAGUGAAAAACUACAGCUAAGAAAAGCAAUUAUCCUACAGAAUCAGUUAAGCUACUAUACCCUGCAGUGUUAAAAGUGGAGUAUGUUUACUGGUGCCUUGAACUCAGGAGGUAUCAUUGUGAAUUUCAAACAUACCAACAAUUCAUUCUGGGUUUUUUACAUAGAUUGCAUUGGAAUAAC